GAUGAAGAACGCAGCGAAAUGCGAUAACUAAUGUGAAUUGCAGAAUUCCGUGAAUCAUCGAGUCUUUGAACGCACAUUGCGCCCCCUGGUAUUCCGGGGGGCAUGCCUGUCCGAGCGUCAUUGCUGCCCAUCAAGCACGGCUUGUGUGUUGGGUCCUCGUCCCCCCCGGGGGACGUGCCCGAAAGGCAGCGGCGGCACCGCGUCCGGUCCUCGAGCGUAUGGGGCUUUGUCACCCGCUCUGCAGGCCCGGCCGGCGCUGGCCGACGCGAAAGCAACCAUUGUUUCUCCAGGUUGACCUCGGAUCAGGUAGGGAUACCCGCUGAACUUAAGCAUAUCAAUAAGCGGAGGA
Molecule: unclassified non-coding RNA, 349 nt
Filed under: soil metagenome
Description: partial contains 5.8S ribosomal RNA, internal transcribed spacer 2, and large subunit ribosomal RNA
Rfam family: 5.8S ribosomal RNA (bases 1-120)
Source: RNAcentral